This is a long non-coding RNA of Dromaius novaehollandiae (emu), 659 nucleotides long. RefSeq lists it as uncharacterized. The transcript has 3 exons. The record is from RefSeq and is a predicted model, not a curated record. NCBI's taxonomy places the organism in Eukaryota, Metazoa, Chordata, Aves, Casuariiformes, Dromaiidae.
GUUAGGGAGCCAUCGUUAAAGCUUUGGGGGAAGAAAGCUCUAAAAGGAGAAUCUCCCAGUGACCUUGGUGGCUUGAUUCACUUGCAGGAUGCUGUUCUGAGGGCCAGCAACUCGAAGGGAUGCAGCUCAGCCCGUUUUGUUGACUUCGGUGAUGCUGUUUUGAGGAAGCAUGUGCCGAAGCCCAGUCGGGCAGUCGAAGGAGCCUUGUCACAGCUGGGAGCUCUGCGGAGAUGCGCGGCUGGCCAUGGAGAGUGAGCUCUGACUUGCAGCGUGGACACAGCUAAGUCCUGGGCUGCAUCAUAUGUGAGCAGUGCUGGGAGGUGCGAGGUGAUUGUUCCCUAGGUGGUCACUGGUGUCACUGGCUGUGGAUGUUUGCCCAUGGAGCUGAGAGGACCAAAAAUAUUAAUUGUCUGACCCGGAGAUGAAUUAGUGCUUGCAGUGCUUCAGGAAAAAGCAGAGGAGUAGGCUGUCAGCUACUCGGACACCUGCCACAUCAAGGGCAGCAGCAGGAGAUGACCCUUCCCUGAUGGAUGGAUGGAUGCUGGUGUGGUGAUGACUCUUCAGGCAUCACAGGUAAGGGGAAGCAUGCUGACACUGAGCUCCAUGGCAGACUUGCUUCCAGCUAUUGUUUCUGCGCAGUAAAGCAAUAAACAGUUGCU